RNAcentral lists this small nucleolar RNA (198 nucleotides) under Chinchilla lanigera (long-tailed chinchilla). RNAcentral describes it as "Small nucleolar RNA SNORA74 (ENSCLAG00000020075.1)". The record is from RNAcentral. Lineage: Eukaryota; Metazoa; Chordata; Mammalia; Rodentia; Chinchillidae.
CCCAGUUGUAGGCAGCUGCCUAGGUUGUCGUGUACCUGGGCGUGUGUUACACUGCUGGGAGAACAGCAGCAAAUAGCUGGUUGGCAUUCUGGUCCUGGUUCAUGACACUUGUGUUAACUGUUCCAGGAUGUCAGCAUAGUUUUUUAUCCAGUAAGGUUAAAUCUGUAAGAGGAUAACUUUUGCAGGGAUAAAACCUAA